RNAcentral lists this long non-coding RNA (1175 nucleotides) under Drosophila guanche. Lineage: Eukaryota; Metazoa; Arthropoda; Insecta; Diptera; Drosophilidae. The record is from RNAcentral.
GGCAGGACUGUCAACUCUGGGCGCUGCCGCUGGCUGGCUGGCUGGUGGUGGUGAAAUUGAACUGUUUGCAGCUACAAAUUGCAGCUGGCUCUCAACCGGCUGCAUUCUGUUUUAUUUUCGACAGGUGAAAUAACCGCAAUUACACUGAUUCCGCACUGGCCCCCACUGGCUCCGCUGGCACGCCGCUAUUUCUCGUGCCGAACUUUAGAAAUGAAAUUGCCAGUCCGAGUUGGGUCCAACACACAUUUGCAGCGGCAAGAAGUGCGCUUAAGUGCCGCUUUGCGAAACAUUUCAUUGCAUAAGCAGGGGGUCUGCGGGGUGCUGCUGCUGCUGCUGCUGCUGCUGCAGGAAGCCUGCUAAAGUGAAAUACUGCCAUCGCCAUCGCCAUCGUUGUCGUUGUCGUUGUCGUCCUUGCUGGCUAGAAAAGUCAAAAAACUAACGAAAUCGGAAACGGAAGCACACAAAGCGCCACUGCCCGCUCCGCUUCUCUUCUCUUUCCCCUGUUUCCUCUCGCAUUCUCCCGUUCUCUGUUUGUCCUGCAUCAUCAUUUUCGCUUGGCUGCCUGCCUGAGAACUGCCCAAAAGUCGCAGAGAGAGCAGAGAGAGAGAGAGAGAGAGAGCGAUGGUAACUUUUCCCUAGUCAAACGUAGCAACUGCGAGAGAAACAAACACAACAAAACGGAGAAAAGUUGCCACAGUUUUCGCACAGUUUUCCCGCAGUGACUUUUGCUGUUGCUGCUGCCUUUGGUUGUCAUCAUUUCUAUAUAAAAAUUGGAUGCUCAUUUGCCGCUCUUGGUCAGUUUUGCCGUGCCCCACUCGAACCGCUGGUAAUUUGCAGCAGCCAAUCUGGGAGCCAGCCACAGCCACAGCCACAGCCACAGCCAUCGUCCCUGCCCCUGCCCCUGACCACACUCGAAUGCUUUGUUCAAUUAAUGAGACUCUUGACAGUUUUGCGCUGCUCCUUGCCAGUUGCUUCGGUGUCCUUUCGCUUCCUCUUUGUUUUCGUUGCGUUUACCAAGUCCUAGCUGGAAGGACCACUCGUGCUGCUGUUUUGUAAUUUAUAAUGUUAACUUUUUGAUUUCUGCCAGGUCAGGGCGCACUUAAUUAAUGAAACAGGCGCAGCAAAGGAAAUUGCCGAGAAGGAGCGCGGACAGGAAGGAGGAUGCCCGAUGAAGG